UGGCGGCGUGGAUAAGACAUGCAAGUCGAGCGCUCAUUUUCGGGUAGCAAUAUUCGGGAGUGGGAGCGGCGCAAGGGUGCGUAACACGUGGAUCAUCUGCCUGGAAGUUCGGAAUAAUUCCGCGAAAGCGGAACUAAUGCCGGAUGUGAUUGAAGGAUUAAAGCUGGGGACCGCAAGGCCUGGCGCUUCCAGAUGAGUCCGCGGCCUAUCAGCUAGUUGGCGGGGUAACGGCCCACCAAGGCUAAGACGGGUAGCUGGUCUGAGAGGACGACCAGCCACACUGGAACUGAGACACGGUCCAGACACCUACGGGUGGCAGCAGUCGAGAAUUUUUCUCAAUGGGCGAAAGCCUGAAGGAGCGACGCCGCGUGGGGGAUGAAGGGCUUCGGCCCGUAAACCCCUGUCAUUUGCGAACAAGUGUCAUGGUUGAACAUUCCAUGGCUUGAUUGUAGCGAAAGAGGAAGGGACGGCUAACUCUGUGCCAGCAGCCGCGGUAAUACAGAGGUCCCAAGCGUUGUUCGGAUUCACUGGGCGUAAAGGGUGCGCAGGUGGCAUGACAAGUUCGAUGUGAAAGCCCCGGGCUUAACCCGGGAAUGGCAUUGAAUACUGCCGUGCUGGAGGUUUGGAGGGGGGACUGGAAUUCUUGGUGUAGCAGUGAAAUGCGUAGAUAUCAAGAGGAACACCAGUGGCGAAG
Molecule: ribosomal RNA, 694 nt
Filed under: uncultured bacterium
Lineage: Bacteria
Description: bacterial SSU rRNA
Rfam family: Bacterial small subunit ribosomal RNA
Source: RNAcentral